UGGGGCUUUAGCUCAGCUGGGAGAGCGCUUGAAUGGCAUUCAAGAGGUCAGCGGUUCGAUCCCGCUAAGCUCCAU
Molecule: transfer RNA, 75 nt
Filed under: Abditibacteriota bacterium
Lineage: Bacteria; Pseudomonadati; Abditibacteriota
Description: tRNA-Ala(ggc)
Rfam family: tRNA
About the family: Transfer RNA (tRNA) molecules are approximately 80 nucleotides in length. Their secondary structure includes four short double-helical elements and three loops (D, anti-codon, and T loops).
Source: RNAcentral